AUUUAAAUAAUUUAAAUAAAAUUUUGAUUUGUGGAAUCAAAUAUAUAUAUAUAAUAAAUUAUAUUUUAAAUA
This 72-nucleotide transfer RNA is filed under the name Metaphycus eriococci. Its description in RNAcentral is "tRNA-His". The record is from RNAcentral. Lineage: Eukaryota; Metazoa; Arthropoda; Insecta; Hymenoptera; Encyrtidae.